This 256-nucleotide ribosomal RNA is filed under the name uncultured bacterium. Its description in RNAcentral is "partial 16S ribosomal RNA". It matches the Rfam family "Bacterial small subunit ribosomal RNA", at positions 524 to 776 of the family's 1533-position model. The record is from RNAcentral.
UACGUAGGGGGCAAGCGUUGUCCGGAAUUAUUGGGCGUAAAGCGCGUGUAGGCGGCCAGAUAAGUCCGCUGUGAAAUCUCGAGGCUCAACUUCGAGCUGUCGGUGGAAACUGUCUGGCUAGAGUCCGGAAGAGGGAGAAUGGAAUUCCUGGUGUAGCGGUGAAAUGACGCAGAUAUCAGGAAGAACACCCGUGGCGAAGGCGGUUCUCUGGGACGGUACUGACGCUGGAGACGCGAAAGCGUGGGGAGCGAACAGG